Molecule: long non-coding RNA, 519 nt
Filed under: Medicago truncatula (barrel medic)
Lineage: Eukaryota; Viridiplantae; Streptophyta; Magnoliopsida; Fabales; Fabaceae
Description: lncRNA gene39604
Source: RNAcentral
UCACCUCUCUGCAUCUUUUUUCCCCUUUCUUUCAAUCUAAAUAAGUGAUUUUCACAUACAUCAAGUUUUUCUUUCGUGAUUUCGUCGUCUUAGUGCGACGUUCUGUUGUUCGUCGUCUUGUCCGGCGUUGUUUGAUUUCGCAUCUUUUGUUGUGUAGUGUUCGUUUGGUUCGUAUUGAAAGAUCAACUUCAGACAAUCACAAAUUCAAUCAAUGAUUUGGGUAUCAACGUAGUAGAUCCAGAAACAUGGGUAUUCUGGUGAUUUAGAUUUUAUCAUAUUAUUUGUAGGCAUUUUAUCGUUAUAUGCUAUUAAUUUUGAUGAUGUGAGUUUGUUCGCAGAUUCACCCUAUACGUUUUAAGGGAUAUUGAUCAUGUUAUUGUCUCUGAUGUAUUCUAUCAAUUUGAAUGAAUGAAUAUCCUUUGCUUUUGUCAAAAAAAUGAAAAUAUGUCUGGUUUUUUUUUUCUUUUCCCUUUAUCAUUUAAAAAGUUUAACAGACUAGAUGAGUAUAUUUAUACUUAA